GAGUGUGGCUCGGUGGUAGAGCAUUUGCCUAGGAUGGGGAAGGCCCGGGGUUCAAUCCCCAGCACCA
RNAcentral lists this transfer RNA (67 nucleotides) under Marmota monax (woodchuck). Its description in RNAcentral is "tRNA.Pro". Lineage: Eukaryota; Metazoa; Chordata; Mammalia; Rodentia; Sciuridae. The record is from RNAcentral.